GAAAUGCGAUAAGUAAUGUGAAUUGCAGAAUUCAGUGAAUCAUCGAAUCUUUGAACGCAUCUUGCGCUCCUUGGUAUUCCUUGGAGCAUGCCUGUUUGAGUAUCAUGAAAUCUUCAAAGUAAAUCUUUUGUUAACUCAAUUGGUUUCUACUUUGGUAUUGUAGGUCUUUGCAGCUUCACACCUGCUCCUCUUUGUUCAUUAGCUGGAUCUCAGUGUUAUGCUUGGUUCCACUCGGCGUGAUAAGUUAUCUAUCGCUGAGGACACUGUAAAAGGUGGCCAAGGUAAAUGCAGAUGAACCGCUUCUAAUAGUCCAUUGACUUGGACAAUACUUUUAUGAUCUGAUCUCAAAUCAGGUAGGACUACCCGCUGAACUUAAGC
Molecule: unclassified non-coding RNA, 378 nt
Filed under: plant metagenome
Description: partial contains 5.8S ribosomal RNA, internal transcribed spacer 2, and large subunit ribosomal RNA
Rfam family: 5.8S ribosomal RNA (bases 1-105)
Source: RNAcentral